This 85-nucleotide transfer RNA is filed under the name Felis catus (domestic cat). It matches the Rfam family "tRNA". From Rfam's summary of the family: Transfer RNA (tRNA) molecules are approximately 80 nucleotides in length. Lineage: Eukaryota; Metazoa; Chordata; Mammalia; Carnivora; Felidae. The record is from Rfam by way of RNAcentral.
GCCCGAGGGGCUCAGUUGGUUAAGCAUCCGACUUUGGCUCAGGUCACGCUCUCGCGGUUCGUGAGUUCGAGCCUCACAUCGGGCU